This 497-nucleotide ribosomal RNA is filed under the name uncultured bacterium. RNAcentral describes it as "partial 16S ribosomal RNA". It matches the Rfam family "Bacterial small subunit ribosomal RNA", at positions 28 to 507 of the family's 1533-position model. The record is from RNAcentral.
GACGAACGCUGGCGGCGUGCCUAAUACAUGCAAGUAGAACGCUGAAGAGAGGAGCUUACUCUUCUUGGAUGAGUUGCGAACGGGUGAGUAACGCGUAGGUAACCUGCCUUGUAGCGGGGGAUAACUAUUGGAAACGAUAGCUAAUACCGCAUAACAAUGUAUGACACAUGUCAUUUAUUUGAAAGGGGCAAUUGCUCCACUACAAGAUGGACCUGCGUUGUAUUAGCUAGUAGGUGAGGUAAUGGCUCACCUAGGCGACGAUACAUAGCCGACCUGAGAGGGUGAGCGGCAACACUGGGACUGGGACACGGCCCAGACUCCUACGGGAGGCAGCAGUAGGGAAUCGUCGGCAAUGGGGGCAAACCUGACCGAGCAACGCCGCGUGAGUGAAGAAGGUUUUCGGAUCGUAAAGCUCUGUUGUAAGUCAAGAACGGGUGUGAGAGUGGAAAGUUCACACUGUGACGGUAGCUUACCAGAAAGGGACGGCUAACUACGUG